RNAcentral lists this RNase MRP RNA (626 nucleotides) under Rhinocladiella mackenziei CBS 650.93. RNAcentral describes it as "RNase MRP". It matches the Rfam family "RNase MRP". Rfam says of the family: RNase MRP is an enzymatically active ribonucleoprotein with two distinct roles in eukaryotes. In mitochondria it plays a direct role in the initiation of mitochondrial DNA replication. The record is from Rfam by way of RNAcentral. Lineage: Eukaryota; Fungi; Ascomycota; Eurotiomycetes; Chaetothyriales; Herpotrichiellaceae.
UCCGCGCUCAAAGAAUCGCAUUCGAAGCUCACGCAUAGCAGAGAAACAGGACUUGGAAAAGGUUCAAGUUUUCUUUUUCUUUGCAUACCUUUGUUUUCUUCUCAGCGGGAGGAAAACUAAGCUUUGGGAGAAAGUCCCCGGACCACCCUACCUUUUCGAAUGAAAAGAACGUUAGGACUUGCCGAGAGGCGCCGCCAUAAAAGCAUUUUCACUGCGGCUAUUUUCUGCCUCCCGCUCUUCUCUGACAUCCUGCCAUGAUUUGAUCUCCGACCUCCUCGUCGUUUGUAUUCCCGGCCGGCUUUUCCUGAUCUGUUCCCUCUGUACGAUGCGGAUAGGUGUCUGGAUGGAUGAAGAUAUGAGUCCGUCCCCAGGGUUUCGACUAGAUGUCUUGAUGCGGAAGACUGGGGAAUAUGGCCUGGGAAGAACUGAAGGGAAGAGAUGAUGAGGGUUCCACACUGGGAGUCGAUCAGGGUAGUGUGUCGUCAGAGAGUGCAAGAGUUGGUUUUUGGAGGUUGCGCAAUUCGUCACAUGCCUACAGUUAUGCGAUUACUCUUUCGACUGUUUCCUUGCUUCGGCAAGAAAACUGGCGAGCGAGGAACUCGACGGGGCUUAUUCUUGAGGCGCGG